AUUCAUUGUGCUGUAAGAGGGAGCUACCCUGGGUCAGAGAUGACAUCAGAGAUGGAGGCUUCUGAUAGCUGACUAAGAGGCCAACCUGGUGAUCACAGUGCCUUUGGAGAUGGCUGAGAGGGAGAGCAUGUAAACCUGAUAUGAACGCAGGAGACCAGAGGAG
Long non-coding RNA from Corvus hawaiiensis (hawaiian crow), 163 nucleotides. RefSeq lists it as uncharacterized. The record is from RefSeq and is a predicted model, not a curated record. The transcript is spliced from 3 exons. NCBI's taxonomy places the organism in Eukaryota, Metazoa, Chordata, Aves, Passeriformes, Corvidae.